GCGCUGGCUUUGGCAGCACAUAUGCUAAAAUUAGAACAAUACAGAGAAGAUUAGCAUGGCCCCUGCACAAGGAUGACAUGCAAAUUCAUGCAGCAUUCCAUAUUUUA
Small nuclear RNA from Otolemur garnettii (small-eared galago), 107 nucleotides. The record is from Ensembl. Lineage: Eukaryota; Metazoa; Chordata; Mammalia; Primates; Galagidae.